GCACCCAUAGCUCAACUGGAUAGAGCAUCGGUCUACGGAACCGAAGGUUGAAGGUUCGAAUCCUUCUGGGUGUAC
This 75-nucleotide transfer RNA is filed under the name Urbifossiella limnaea. RNAcentral's name for it is "Planctomycetes bacterium ETA_A1 tRNA-Arg". It matches the Rfam family "tRNA". Rfam says of the family: Transfer RNA (tRNA) molecules are approximately 80 nucleotides in length. Their secondary structure includes four short double-helical elements and three loops (D, anti-codon, and T loops). The record is from RNAcentral. Lineage: Bacteria; Pseudomonadati; Planctomycetota; Planctomycetia; Gemmatales; Gemmataceae.